GCCCAUACGGUCAUCAGCUCCAGGUUCUGCUCCACCUGCUGAACCACCGACUCCAGGUCGUGGUAGUCGCUUUCCUCCUUGAUCAUUUUUGCUUCUAAUUUCCGCUCAAGUGUCCUCAACAUUUCUGUUUGAGCUUCAGAGAAGCUCUGAACCUCAUUCAGCUUUCUUCUCAGCUUAGAAUUUUCAUCUUUUACUGCUUCGUAACUUAUCUGCAGUGUCCGCAGGUGCCUGUCUCCCAGAGACUCUCCAUGAGCCGCAAAGUCUGCGCUAGGACUCCCUGCCGGAGAGGCCGGAGACACGCGAGAAUCAGUGUCACUCAACGCCCACGAGGGCAGAGACUCACGCCCUGCCAGCUCCGACGGGGUGGAGAAAAAAGAAAGGCCGAGGUUCUUGGUCUUCAGAAACUCUUUAAAGGAGAAUGGAUUUGCUUCUUCAAGAUCUUCAAAUCUGUCAUCUCCGUCGGGAAUGGCGAGGCUCCGGGCUCGGGACAGCGGGGUGGCGCCCGGGCGGCGCGGGUAGCCCGACAUCGCCGCCGGCCCGGCUGGGCAGGACCUGCCUAGCCAGGCAGCGGCGGCUCCAUGGCCCCGGCUCCGCCCGUGCCGCGGCCCGUGUCGCCCGCCCGCGUCGCCCGCCGCUGGGCCGCUCCCGCUCC
This 652-nucleotide long non-coding RNA is filed under the name Pongo abelii (Sumatran orangutan). Its description in RNAcentral is "lincRNA". The record is from RNAcentral. Lineage: Eukaryota; Metazoa; Chordata; Mammalia; Primates; Hominidae.